AGAGUUUGAUUAUGGCUCAGAUUGAACGCUGGCGGCAGGCCUAACACAUGCAAGUCGAACGGUAGCACAGAAGAGCUUGCUCUUUGGGUGACGAGUGGCGGACGGGUGAGUAAUGUCUGGGAAACUGCCCGAUGGAGGGGGAUAACUACUGGAAACGGUAGCUAAUACCGCAUAACGUCUUCGGACCAAAGUGGGGGACCUUCGGGCCUCACACCAUCGGAUGUGCCCAGAUGGGAUUAGCUAGUAGGUGGGGUAAUGGCUCACCUAGGCGACGAUCCCUAGCUGGUCUGAGAGGAUGACCAGCCACACUGGAACUGAGACACGGUCCAGACUCCUACGGGAGGCAGCAGUGGGGAAUGUUGCACAAUGGGCGCAAGUCUGAUGCAGCCAUGCCGCGUGUAUGAAGAAGGCCUUCGGGUUGUAAAGUACUUUCAGCGGGGAGGAAGGCAUUGUGGUUAAUAACCGCAGUGAUUGACGUUACCCGCAGAAGAAGCACCGGCUAACUCCGUGCCAGCCGCCGCGGUAA
This 526-nucleotide ribosomal RNA is filed under the name uncultured Erwinia sp. RNAcentral's name for it is "bacterial SSU rRNA". It matches the Rfam family "Bacterial small subunit ribosomal RNA", at positions 8 to 523 of the family's 1533-position model. Lineage: Bacteria; Pseudomonadati; Pseudomonadota; Gammaproteobacteria; Enterobacterales; Erwiniaceae. The record is from RNAcentral.